Molecule: long non-coding RNA, 1844 nt
Organism: Paramisgurnus dabryanus
Lineage: Eukaryota; Metazoa; Chordata; Actinopteri; Cypriniformes; Cobitidae
Source: RefSeq, a predicted model, not a curated record
AAAAAUUAUAUAAAUACUGUUCGGCUUCUCGCACAAACCGAUCGUUUCGUUUCUUAGGAUAUCAAUGUGUCGUCACGAGCGGCAGGGUUUAAUUUGGAUUUGUCUGUGCAUGUUUUUACUGUCUGAGAUUUUGUUACUAUUCACAUGCAUACAGACUGAAACGGUUGGAGUUUCUACAUUUGUGUUGUACUGAAGAAACAAAAUCACAUACAUCUUGGAUGGCCUCGGGGUAAGCUGAUAAAUACAAAAAAUUCAUUUUAAGAUGAAUCCCGUACGUUGGCGGCUGUUUUAAACUGGGUGCUCGGCUCCGACCCUUUUGCCAGUAUGAAGCCGAUUUCAACGGUAACUGCAGAAAGCGUCAGCACGCUCAGCUCAUCACUGGAGUAACGUCUGUACAACGGGUGAGAUAAAACUCAACGCCUGACUGAAUCAUCCAUUCCCUUUUCGAUCCUACGCCAUACGUUAAACUUGAGGUAAUCUUGCUUUUGCUGUUCUAAAAUAAACACUGCUCUUAGCACACCACCCAUACAUGGCACACAAAACAGGUCUUGUGAGGGGGCUGUGCCCACAGGUAGAAAUUCUGUAGGUCCACGGGCUUCUCCCCUUUCAGCGAACAUCACAGCGCUUAGUCCACCAUCGUGGUCUCCAAUCUCCAUUACCAACAGCCUGAGUGCUACACCUACAGACACCCCAACCCAUGCAGCAGCUGGCAGAAGUCAGACAUCAGGCCAAACUGGAUUUCAACACACCCCACCCUUACAUGGCACACAAGUAUAUGACACACAACACAGGUCUUCUCAGGAGGCUGUGCCUACAGCAAUAGGCUUUAUGCCCAGCUGCACUACUUCCUGAACUUCAGCCAGCUGCUUGUUUCCUGUCUGCCAUUAUUGGACAAACUGAUUAAUCCAGGUGUGCCUGAGCUUAGUAGUCACAACAACAAUAAUCAGACACACCUGGAUUUAUCAGUUUGUCCAGUAAUGGCAGACAGGAAACAAGGAGCUUAAAGCCUAUUGCUAAGGAGAUCCUCAUCCAGCUCGAUUUUAUUAGAGAGCAGCAGUUGCAGACUUCACCCCAGACCCAACACAUUUUGGGCUCCCACUUUCAACUAUUGAGGAGCUACAAUGUUUGUAGGAGACAUUUAAUAAUCCAGAUGAGAAGAAGAAUUUGGUGAGACUGUUUUUCCUGGAAUGGUCGGAGACAAGACUCUUAAAGACACCGUGGGGUGGGUCCUGAAAAAAACAAUGAACUCUUCGUGGUGAGACUCAUCAAUUGAAGUGGGGUCAACUGAACGCCUGCAUUCAAAGGGCUCACUUUGAAAAGUGUGGUUUUGGAUGCAGUCCGCCGGAAUGCCCUGACCAAAGAUUACACAGAAAAGGAGAUAGAGCUCCUCAUCACCAGGUGGUCGGUGCUAGCAUAUGACAGGGAUGGUGGCCGAAUCCAGACAAUAGACAGACAAUGAAUUAAAAUGUUUUAAAUUUAAAAAUGUUGAUUUUUGGAAAAUUCGUAUUUGAACUGAUUGUGUGUGUGUGUGCACCUGGUAAUUAUCACGUUGUGUCCCCACAAAGAUAGGAAUACCAGUAUUUUUGUGACCUUGUGUCCCCAUGAGGAAACAAGCUUAUAAAUCAAACAAAAUGAUGUUUCUUGUAAAUGUGAAGUAGGAGAAGGGUUUCUGUGAUGGUUGGGUUUAGGGAAUGGGGUAGGUAAGGGGAAUAAAAUAUACAGUUUGUAUGGUAUAAAAUGCAUUACGUCUAUGGAAUGUCCCCACAAAACAUGGAAACCUGUUUGUGUGUACGAGAGAGAGAGAAUGUGUGUUCAAGUGAAUAAAAAAUGCAUUAAACGUGAAA